Unclassified non-coding RNA from Pongo abelii (Sumatran orangutan), 304 nucleotides. It matches the Rfam family "Metazoan signal recognition particle RNA". From Rfam's summary of the family: The signal recognition particle (SRP) is a universally conserved ribonucleoprotein. It is involved in the co-translational targeting of proteins to membranes. The record is from Ensembl. NCBI's taxonomy places the organism in Eukaryota, Metazoa, Chordata, Mammalia, Primates, Hominidae.
GGCGGGCGUGGUGGCAAACACCUGUAGUCUCAGCUACUAGGGAGCGUGAGGCAGGAGGAUGGCUUGAGCCCAGGAAUUCUGAGCCUUAGUGUGCUAUGCCGAUCAGGUGUUCACACUAAGUUCAGCAUGAAUAUGGUGACCUCCUGGGGGCAGGGCACCACCACAUUGGCUAAGGAAGGGUGAACUGGCCCAGGUCAGAAAUGGAGCAGGUCAUAAGUAACUCCUGUGCUGAUCAGUAGUGGGAUUAUGCCUGUGAGUAGCUACUGUAUUCCAGCCUGGGCAACAUAGCGAGACCUCAUCUCUU